This 1254-nucleotide ribosomal RNA is filed under the name uncultured bacterium. RNAcentral's name for it is "bacterial SSU rRNA". It matches the Rfam family "Bacterial small subunit ribosomal RNA", at positions 53 to 1320 of the family's 1533-position model. The record is from RNAcentral.
ACAUGCAAGUCGAGCGGUAACAUUUCUAGCUUGCUAGAAGAUGACGAGCGGCGGACGGGUGAGUAAUUCUUGGGAACAUGCCUUGAGGUGGGGGACAACAGUUGGAAACGACUGCUAAUACCGCAUAAUGUCUACGGACCAAAGGGGGCUUCGGCUCUCGCCUUUAGAUUGGCCCAAGUGGGAUUAGCUAGUUGGUGAGGUAAUGGCUCACCAAGGCGACGAUCCCUAGCUGGUUUGAGAGGAUGAUCAGCCACACUGGGACUGAGACACGGCCCAGACUCCUACGGGAGGCAGCAGUGGGGAAUAUUGCACAAUGGGCGCAAGCCUGAUGCAGCCAUGCCGCGUGUGUGAAGAAGGCCUUCGGGUUGUAAAGCACUUUCAGUCAGGAGGAAAGGUUAGUAGUUAAUACCUGCUAGCUGUGACGUUACUGACAGAAGAAGCACCGGCUAACUCCGUGCCAGCAGCCGCGGUAAUACGGAGGGUGCGAGCGUUAAUCGGAAUUACUGGGCGUAAGGCGUACGCAGGCGGUUUGUUAAGCGAGAUGUGAGAGCCCCGGGCUCAACCUGGGAACUGCAUUUCGAACUGGCAAACUAGAGUGUGAUAGAGGGUGGUAGAAUUUCAGGUGUAGCGGUGAAAUGCGUAGAGAUCUGAAGGAAUACCGAUGGCGAAGGCAGCCACCUGGGUCAACACUGACGCUCAUGUACGAAAGCGUGGGGAGCAAACAGGAUUAGAUACCCUGGUAGUCCACGCCGUAAACGAUGUCUACUAGAAGCUCGGAACCUCGGUUCUGUUUUUCAAAGCUAACGCAUUAAGUAGACCGCCUGGGGAGUACGGCCGCAAGGUUAAAACUCAAAUGAAUUGACGGGGGCCCGCACAAGCGGUGGAGCAUGUGGUUUAAUUCGAUGCAACGCGAAGAACCUUACCUACACUUGACAUACAGAGAACUUACUAGAGAUAGUUUGGUGCCUUCGGGAACUCUGAUACAGGUGCUGCAUGGCUGUCGUCAGCUCGUGUUGUGAGAUGUUGGGUUAAGUCCCGCAACGAGCGCACCCCUAUCUAGUGCUAGCAGGUAUGCUGAGACUCUAGAGACUGCCGGUGAUAACCGGAGGAGUGGGACGACGUCAGUCAUCAUGGCCCUUACGUGGAGCUACCCCCGUGCCUACAUGGGCCAAUACAGAGGGCUGGCACUCCGGAGAAUAAGCGAAUCACUUAAGUGGCCGCCAAAUCCGAGAAUGGAGAUUGUGGAAAUCUCUG